RNAcentral lists this ribosomal RNA (460 nucleotides) under uncultured bacterium. RNAcentral's name for it is "bacterial SSU rRNA". It matches the Rfam family "Bacterial small subunit ribosomal RNA", at positions 29 to 506 of the family's 1533-position model. The record is from RNAcentral.
ACGAACGCUGGCGGCGUGCCUAACACAUGCAAGUCGAACGAGGUCCAUCCUUCGGGAGAAGACCUAGUGGCGAACGGGUGAGUAACACGUGAAGAACCUGCCCCGAAGACCGGGAUAACCCUCCGAAAGGAGAGCUAAUACCGGAUACCCCCACCGAACCGCAUGGUUUGGUGAGGAAAUGGAUUCCGCUUCGGGAGGGCUUCGCGGCCUAUCAGCUAGUUGGUGGGGUAACGGCCCACCAAGGCAUCGACGGGUAGCUGGUCUGAGAGGACGAUCAGCCACACUGGGACUGAGACACGGCCCAGACUCCUACGGGAGGCAGCAGUGGGGAAUCUUGCGCAAUGGGCGAAAGCCUGACGCAGCAACGCCGCGUGGGGGAUGAAGGCUCUCGGGUUGUAAACCCCUUUCAGCAGGGACGAAUCAAGACGGUACCUGCAGAAGAAGCCCCGGCUAACUACGU